GCCGGGCGUGGUGGUGCGCGCCUGUAAUCCCAGCUACUCAGGAGGCUGAGGCAGGAGAAUCACUUGAGCCCAGGAGGCGGAGGUUGCAGUGAGCUGAGGACUAUACCACUGCACUCCAGCCUGGGCGACAGAGCGAGACUCCGUCUCAA
Papio anubis (olive baboon) is the source of this 149-nucleotide unclassified non-coding RNA. It matches the Rfam family "Metazoan signal recognition particle RNA". From Rfam's summary of the family: The signal recognition particle (SRP) is a universally conserved ribonucleoprotein. It is involved in the co-translational targeting of proteins to membranes. The record is from Ensembl. NCBI's taxonomy places the organism in Eukaryota, Metazoa, Chordata, Mammalia, Primates, Cercopithecidae.